GAUGAACGCUGGCGGCGUGCCUAAUACAUGCCAGUCGAGCGAACGGACGAGAAGCUUGCUUCUCUGAUGUUAGCGGCGGACGGGUGAGUAACACGUGGAUAACCUACCUAUAAGACUGGGAUAACUUCGGGAAACCGGAGCUAAUACCGGAUAAUAUUUUGAACCGCAUGGUUCAAAAGUGUAAGACGGUCUUGCUGUCACUUAUAGAUGGAUCCGCGCUGCAUUAGCUAGUUGGUAAGGUAACGGCUUACCAAGGCAACGAUGCAUAGCCGACCUGAGAGGGUGAUCGGCCACACUGGAACUGAGACACGGUCCAGACUCCUACGGGAGGCAGCAGUAGGGAAUCUUCCGCAAUGGGCGAAAGCCUGACGGAGCAACGCCGCGUGAGUGAUGAAGGUCUUCGGAUCGUAAAACUCUGUUAUUAGGGAAGAACAUAUGUGUAAGUAACUGUGCACAUCUUGACGGUACCUAAUCAGAAAGCCACGGCUAACUACGUG
This 497-nucleotide ribosomal RNA is filed under the name uncultured bacterium. Its description in RNAcentral is "partial 16S ribosomal RNA". It matches the Rfam family "Bacterial small subunit ribosomal RNA", at positions 28 to 507 of the family's 1533-position model. The record is from RNAcentral.